GACAGAGGUGCCAAGCGUUAGGCGGAAUCACUGGGCUUAAAGCGUGUGUAGGCGGGUGCCUAAGUACCUUGUGAAAUCCCACGGCUCAACCGUGGAACUGCUGGGUAUACUGGGUGCCUUGGGUCAUCUAGGGGCUGCCGGAACAAAUGGUGGAGCGGUGAAAUGCGUAGAUAUCAUUUGGAACGCCAACGGCGAAAGCAGGCAGCUGGGGAUGCACCGACGCUGAGACACGAAAGCGUGGGGAGCGAACCGG
Molecule: ribosomal RNA, 253 nt
Filed under: uncultured bacterium
Lineage: Bacteria
Description: partial 16S ribosomal RNA
Rfam family: Bacterial small subunit ribosomal RNA
Source: RNAcentral